RNAcentral lists this unclassified non-coding RNA (346 nucleotides) under soil metagenome. RNAcentral's name for it is "partial contains 5.8S ribosomal RNA, internal transcribed spacer 2, and large subunit ribosomal RNA". The stretch from base 1 to 119 matches the Rfam family "5.8S ribosomal RNA", at positions 35 to 154 of the family's 154-position model. The record is from RNAcentral.
GAUGAAGAACGUAGCGAAAUGCGAUACGUAAUGUGAAUUGCAAAUUCAGUGAAUCAUCGAGUCUUUGAACGCACAUUGCGCCCCCUGGUAUUCCGGGGGGCAUGCCUGUCCGAGCGUCAUUGCUGCCCUCAAGCACGGCUUGUGUGUUGGGCCCCGUCCUCCGAUCCCGGGGGACGGGCCCGAAAGGCAGCGGCGGCACCUCGUCCGGUCCUCGAGCGUAUGGGGCUUUGUCACCCGCUCUGUAGGCCCGGCCGGCGCUUGCCGAUCAACCCAAAUUUUUUAUCCAGGUUGACCUCGGAUCAGGUAGGGAUACCCGCUGAACUUAAGCAUAUCAAUAAGCGGAGGA